RNAcentral lists this transfer RNA (73 nucleotides) under Stegodyphus mimosarum. It matches the Rfam family "tRNA". From Rfam's summary of the family: Transfer RNA (tRNA) molecules are approximately 80 nucleotides in length. Their secondary structure includes four short double-helical elements and three loops (D, anti-codon, and T loops). Lineage: Eukaryota; Metazoa; Arthropoda; Arachnida; Araneae; Eresidae. The record is from Rfam by way of RNAcentral.
GCCUUCGUGGUGUAGUGGUCAGCACGCUCGACGCAUAACCGAGAGGUCCAUGGUUCGAUUCCCGGCCAGGGCG